This 498-nucleotide ribosomal RNA is filed under the name uncultured bacterium. Its description in RNAcentral is "partial 16S ribosomal RNA". It matches the Rfam family "Bacterial small subunit ribosomal RNA", at positions 30 to 523 of the family's 1533-position model. The record is from RNAcentral.
AUUGAACGCUGGCGGCAUGCUUUACACAUGCAAGUCGAACGGUAACAGGCCGCAAGGUGCUGACGAGUGGCGAACGGGUGAGUAAUGCAUCGGAACGUGCCCAGUCGUGGGGGAUAACGCAGCGAGAGCUGCGCUAAUACCGCAUACGAUCUAUGGAUGAAAGCGGGGGACCGUAAGGCCUCGCGCGAUUGGAGCGGCCGAUGUCAGAUUAGGUAGUUGGUGGGGUAAAGGCUCACCAAGCCAACGAUCUGUAGCUGGUCUGAGAGGACGACCAGCCACACUGGGACUGAGACACGGCCCAGACUCCUACGGGAGGCAGCAGUGGGGAAUUUUGGACAAUGGGCGCAAGCCUGAUCCAGCAAUGCCGCGUGCAGGAAGAAGGCCUUCGGGUUGUAAACUGCUUUUGUACGGAACGAAACGGCUCUCUCUAGUACAGGGGGUUAAUGACGGUACCGUAAGAAUAAGCACCGGCUAACUACGUGCCAGCAGCCGCCGUAA